Octodon degus (degu) is the source of this 3618-nucleotide long non-coding RNA. RefSeq lists it as uncharacterized. NCBI's taxonomy places the organism in Eukaryota, Metazoa, Chordata, Mammalia, Rodentia, Octodontidae. The record is from RefSeq and is a predicted model, not a curated record. The transcript is spliced from 3 exons.
UAUAUUUUAACACAGAUAGCAUUAGCAUUUGAAAAUAAGCUAAACUUGCUGUCCUGGUAUAAGAUUCAGGAUUUAUAAAUUCAGCUGGACUUAGGAAAAUAGGUUGAGAAUUCGUCACUGAUGCCCUGUCACUAGAUAAAUCAUUGGCCGGCUUGCUUGUUGGUAACUGACCAGAUCAUGCUCCUAAGUGUGCAAGUGUCCCUCCCUUGCCCUCACAGGUGUGCAAGCCACUGAGCACACACGGGCAGCGUGCACCCCCAGAGAUGUGCUGCACCGCUGGGCUGAUCGGCCUUCUGAGAAUCCAAUCAGGACGGCUGGAUUCUUUUGAUUUUAGUCUUGAAGACCCUACCUUGGAAUCUCCUCUUUUUCUCUAAUUUUGCUUUCUACCUAAGGUCUCUUGAAGACAGCCCAUCCAUGUUCUGCAAGCCUUGAGGCCCCCGUCCUAUGGCAGCAUGAUGGACCGUGCUUUCUCCUGGAGUUUGUGGGACAGCAUUUUCUGACACCUCAAGCUUCACAUGGAUUGAGCAGGUUGUGCUACAGCUUCCCAGCACCCGGCAGACUGCCCGCACCCAGAUGCCACCCCCAACCCAUCCUCCUGCCUGCUACUCACUGGUUUCCUCUGCUCCUUGCUGCCACCACCCCUACCUUUCACUGCCCCCCACGGCAGCGGCCUAACAGGUGCUGAGCAAGCGCUGACAUCCUGCAGAGAGUUCCAGAAGUGUAGAACCAGAGGGCUCCCUGUGAGACCAUUUUUCUCUGUCUGCAUCACUGAGCUGUACUCGAGAGGCUUUGGGAGAGCCCCAUCCCUUAGCUCUGAGGGAACUUUCCAGUGGGAAACCCUGCCCUGGUUUCUCCUGCACCUCCCCUGCCUUGCCCGAGCCUGGCUGUGCUGCCACGCUCCCUCACCCCCGCAUGACAAGCUCCCCGGCACAGGGCCCACACAGAGCCAUAGAACAGGCAAGUUCAGUUGGCACAGCAACGGGUCAUACUGUAUGGAGGUGAGGAAAGAACUGUGGGCUGGGACCCAGCUGAGGUCAGCAGAGCCAGAGCCCAUUUCCAGGGUCCAGCUCCAGAGUCUGCCUCCUCCUCAGAGACGGCAUUGAAGGCAGAGACCUCUGGCUUCCGUCUGUUAGCCAGCCUUCAGUCACAUAACGAGUACACCCCCGAGGUCAUUGCUGACGAGGAGUGAAGGCUGGGUUGAUUCCCAGGUUUGGAGGUUUUAAUUCAGGAUCAGUCAGCCCUGGUCCUCUGAGCGUUUGGCGGGGUAGCACACAGGCGGGAUGUGGGGGAGCCUGCAGCGAAGGGCUGGGAGGCGAAGGACAGGAAUGGGGGGUCCGGGCUGCCCUUCAAGGACAUGUCCCAGUAGCCUUGCUUCUCUGCUGGGCUGCAUCUCCGAGAGCAUCAGCAGCGCCUCUGACACAGGGGCCUCAGGGACCAAUCGUAAACCUUCAUCGCUUGUCAGACAGGAAAGAUUCGGAAUGAGUGUUUUCUGCUCUCUAUUCUUCUUAGGUUACAGACUUAGGUAAUCAAGUGAGACCUGGCCUUGAGGACCCCGUCCGUCCUGGGUGGCAGCCACUUUAGUGCACUUGCUGCCUCUAGACCUGGCUCUGCAGUAUCUUCUUGACACUGUGAGGAACCGUGCCAACCUGUGCCCCUUUGGGCCUGCAGGCCCCCAACCCCUCACCAUGGCCACCAGUGUGACAGGGCAGGGGGACCCAAAUGGCAUUCAGAGAUGAAGCAAAAGGAGAUGGACUGAGCUGGAACUGGAGAGCCCACAGCGUCCCCUUCUUGGCCACAGGGAGCGUGUGGCUGGCGACAGGCGCCACAGAUGAGUCAGCAGAGGAUGGUAAACAGGGCCUUGGCAGUCAGAAUCCAGGACAGAGAAGAAUAUUGAUUGCACAGGGUUGCAAGGAGGGCUGGGGGCAGGGAGAGAUACGUGUGCCCCAUGGGCACGGGGACAGAGGUGAGCGGGGCUUUGGCUCUGACUGCCGCCCACUGUUCUUUCUCUCCCAAAGCUGAGUCACUGCCAAUCCCAUCCAAAUAGGCUGGAGGUGAGCCGGGACGGGAAGGGAGGCCUGGGAGGUGUCAGGCCGAUGACGAGCUGUCAGCAGCCGCACUGGUUUAUUUCCGAGCAGGACUGUGUUCAUCAGUCGCCACACUGACCCCUGGAGGGGUGGGCUGAGCCCAGGGAGCUGACAGACGCAGACAGCACAGUCCCAUUGGGCAAGUAUGAAACUGCCACCGAGAAUGUGACUUUCCAGGGGAAGCACUUUCCAGGCAGGAGAGCAUUCCUGCUGCUGCUCUGCACAGGGCAAGCUCAUCUGAGGCCGACUCUGCCCUCUCCCCCUUGGCUAUGUCUGGAACUAAUCUCCAGAGCUAGAUGCACUGGGAAACUACAGACUGGGACCUCUGAAUCCAUGAGCCAGCAGAACCCUCUCCUACUUCAAUCCAAGAAGAAGUACCCAGGAUGCAGACGAGAAGCCAGCACUUGUUGGGGGCAUGCAGGCUCCCAAGGAAGAAGUGUGAGUGUCCACUGGUUGGGUUCUUCCAGAAAGGCUGCUUGACCAAGUCCCUCCAUCAGAGAUGUCCUCGCAUUCUGUGGAGAUGAUUUCUAUUUGCUUGAGACACUCUCUGUUUUCUUUAGUUUCACAGUGGCGAUUUAGAUUCACUUAACCAGAUACCAGGUUGUGAUUGAUACAACUGGUGCAUCUCUGAGAGGAAGGAGCUAUGGCCGUCAGGAUCCUAGAGGAUGCCUGCGCAGAAGCUCUAUCGCCUGUGCCUACGUCUCCAGCAGGGCGCAGGGCCCCAGUGCUUGCAGAGUGAGUGCUUCAAUCCUUGAGCUAGACUCUGGCUCUUUUCCAAAUUAAAGCAAGCCACUGAUUGACUGGAAAGCAUGCAGGCAUGGUGGGGUAGGGCUACCCUUCAUCUUGGCCCCUGCUGAAAAUGGCUAUGUCAUGCCUUGUUCCCUGCCUCACCUACUUUGCAAUUCUAGUAAAUUACACAAAUCCCAGGUCCCCAGGGCACUGGGCCCCACUGUACCCAACUCCAGAGAAAGCUGGUGGGUGUGCCGUGAAUGCAUAUAAUUCCUUCCUUGCUCUUGAAUUGUUGAUGAGACGCUUCUAAGGUACAUGUGGCCAUGCUGCUGUCCCUGGAGCUUGCUGUUCACCAGCUACCAACAGAGCUAUUGCUUUUUUAUUGAGAAUUAAAAAUCAUGUAUAUGUAUGGUGUGUACAACAUGUUUUAAUUUAUGCAAUCAUAGUAGAAUAACUAAGGCAAGUUCAUUAGCAUAUGCACUGCCUCUCAUAUUUUUAUGAUGAGAAUACUUAAAAUCUCUUGGAAGUUUUUGCACACACAGUAGACUGUUAACAAUGACAGGUCAGCUGCCGAGUGAAUCUUUUGAAUUCCUUCCUCUUCUCUCACUGAACCUUUGUACGCUUUGACUAACACCUCUCUGAAAAUCACUCUUCUACUCUGCUCCUGUGUGCUCGGAUUCUCCGUACGAGUGCGAUCAUGCAGAGUUCCCUUUUUUUGCAUCAUGGCUUCUUCAAAUGGCUGUCAUGAGAGGAGCACUUGGGCCGGCCAGAUAGCUCAGUGGACUAACACACCUGCUUAGGUAGA